CGCGUAGGCUGUUGAGUAAGUCAAAUGUGAAAUCCCCGGGCUUAACCUGGGAACUGCAUUCGAUACUGCUUAACUAGAGUAUGGUAGAGGGAAGUGGAAUUCCGGGUGUAGCGGUGAAAUGCGUAGAUAUCCGGAGGAACACCAGUGGCGAAGGCGACUUCCUGGGCCAAUACUGACGCUGAGGUGCGAAAGCGUGGGGAGCAAACA
RNAcentral lists this ribosomal RNA (207 nucleotides) under uncultured bacterium. RNAcentral describes it as "partial 16S ribosomal RNA". It matches the Rfam family "Bacterial small subunit ribosomal RNA", at positions 568 to 774 of the family's 1533-position model. The record is from RNAcentral.